AGUGAACGCUGGCGGUAGGCCUAACACAUGCAAGUCGAACGGCAGCACAGUAAGAGCUUGCUCUUACGGGUGGCGAGUGGCGGACGGGUGAGGAAUACAUCGGAAUCUACUUUUUCGUGGGGGAUAACGUAGGGAAACUUACGCUAAUACCGCAUACGACCUACGGGUGAAAGCAGGGGAUCUUCGGACCUUGCGCGAUUGAAUGAGCCGAUGUCGGAUUAGCUAGUUGGCGGGGUAAAGGCCCACCAAGGCAACGAUCCGUAGCUUGUUUGAGAGGAUGAGCAGCCCCACUUGAACAUGGACACCGGCCUGACUCCCAACGGAGGCAGCCGGGGGGAAUAUUGGACAAGGGGCGCAAGCCUGAUCCAGCCAUACCGCGUGGGUGAAGAAGGCCUUCGGGUUGUAAAGCCCUUUUGUUGGGAAAGAAAAGCAUCAGGUUAAUACCCCGCUGUUCUGACGGUACCCAAAGAAUAAGCACCGGCUAACUUCGUG
RNAcentral lists this ribosomal RNA (492 nucleotides) under uncultured bacterium. RNAcentral describes it as "partial 16S ribosomal RNA". It matches the Rfam family "Bacterial small subunit ribosomal RNA", at positions 29 to 507 of the family's 1533-position model. The record is from RNAcentral.